This 31-nucleotide non-coding RNA is filed under the name Mus musculus (house mouse). The record is from RNAcentral. Lineage: Eukaryota; Metazoa; Chordata; Mammalia; Rodentia; Muridae.
UCCAUAGAAUUAAGAUAAGUGACAGUUGUGU